CCUACGGGAGGCUGCAGUCGAGAAUUAUUCACAAUGGGGGAAACCCUGAUGGUGCGACGCCGCGUGGGGGAAUGAAGGUCUUCGGAUUGUAAACCCCUGUCAUGUGGGAGCAAAUUAAAAAGAUAGUACCACAAGAGGAAGAGACGGCUAACUCUGUGCCAGCAGCCGCGGUAAUACAGAGGUCUCAAGCGUUGUUCGGAAUCACUGGGCGUAAGGCGUGCGUAGGCUGUUUCGUAAGUCGUGUGUGAAAGGCGCGGGCUCAACCGGCGGACGGCACAUGAUACUGCGAGACUAGAGUAAUGGAGGGGGAACCGGAAUUCUCGGUGUAGCAGUGAAAUGCGUAGAUAUAGAGAGGAACACUCGUGGCGAAGGCGGGUUCCUGGACAUUAACUGACGCUGAGGCACGAAGGCCAGGGGAGCGAAAGGGAUUAGAUACCCCAGUAGUC
This 446-nucleotide ribosomal RNA is filed under the name uncultured bacterium. Its description in RNAcentral is "partial 16S ribosomal RNA". It matches the Rfam family "Bacterial small subunit ribosomal RNA", at positions 338 to 795 of the family's 1533-position model. The record is from RNAcentral.